RNAcentral lists this ribosomal RNA (253 nucleotides) under uncultured bacterium. Its description in RNAcentral is "partial 16S ribosomal RNA". It matches the Rfam family "Bacterial small subunit ribosomal RNA", at positions 524 to 776 of the family's 1533-position model. The record is from RNAcentral.
UACGUAGGGUGCGAGCGUUGUCCGGAAUUAUUGGGCGUAAAGAGCUUGUAGGCGGUUUGUCGCGUCUGCCGUGAAAAUCCGGGGCUCAACCCCGGACUUGCGGUGGGUACGGGCAGACUAGAGUGUGGUAGGGGAGACUGGAAUUCCUGGUGUAGCGGUGAAAUGCGCAGAUAUCAGGAGGAACACCGAUGGCGAAGGCAGGUCUCUGGGCCACUACUGACGCUGAGAAGCGAAAGCUAGGGGAGCAAACGGG